AGUGAACGCUGGCGGUAGGCCUAACACAUGCAAGUCGAACGGCAGCACAGUAAGAGCUUGCUCUUACGGGUGGCGAGUGGCGGACGGGUGAGGAAUACAUCGGAAUCUACUUUUUCGUGGGGGAUAACGUAGGGAAACUUACGCUAAUACCGCAUACGACCUACGGGUGAAAGCAGGGGAUCUUCGGACCUUGCGCGAUUGAAUGAGCCGAUGUCGGAUUAGCUAGUUGGCGGGGUAAAGGCCCACCAAGGCGACGAUCCGUAGCUGGUCUGAGAGGAUGAUCAGCCACACUGGAACUGAGACACGGUCCAGACUCCUACGGGAGGCAGCAGUGGGGAAUAUUGGACAAUGGGCGAAAGCCUGAUCCAGCCAUACCGCGUGGGUGAAGAAGGCCUUCGGGUUGUAAAGCCAUUUUGUUGGGAAAGAAAAGCAGCAGGUUAAUACCCCGCUGUUCUGACGGUACCCAAAGAAUAAGCACCGGCUAACUUCGUG
RNAcentral lists this ribosomal RNA (492 nucleotides) under uncultured bacterium. RNAcentral describes it as "partial 16S ribosomal RNA". It matches the Rfam family "Bacterial small subunit ribosomal RNA", at positions 29 to 507 of the family's 1533-position model. The record is from RNAcentral.